GCUAUCACUCCUACGGGGAGACAGCAGUAGGGAAUCUUCCACAAUGGGCGCAAGCCUGAUGGAGCAACACCGCGUGAGUGAAGAAGGGUUUCGGCUCGUAAAGCUCUGUUGUUAAAGAAGAACACGUAUGAGAGUAACUGUUCAUACGUUGACGGUAUUUAACCAGAAAGUCACGGCUAACUACGUGCCAGCAGCCGCGGUAAUACGUAGGUGGCAAGCGUUAUCCGGAUUUAUUGGGCGUAAAGAGAGUGCAGGCGGUUUUCUAAGUCUGAUGUGAAAGCCUUCGGCUUAACCGGAGAAGUGCAUCGGAAACUGGAUAACUUGAGUGCAGAAGAGGGUAGUGGAACUCCAUGUGUAGCGGUGGAAUGCGUAGAUAUAUGGAAGAACACCAGUGGCGAAGGCGGCUACCUGGUCUGCAACUGACGCUGAGACUCGAAAGCAUGGGUAGCGAACAGGAUUAGAUACCCUGGUAG
Molecule: ribosomal RNA, 473 nt
Filed under: uncultured bacterium
Lineage: Bacteria
Description: bacterial SSU rRNA
Rfam family: Bacterial small subunit ribosomal RNA
Source: RNAcentral